CGGUACCUGAAGAAAAAGCAUCGGCUAACUCCGUGCCAGCAGCCGCGGUAAUACGGAGGAUGCAAGCGUUAUCCGGAAUCAUUGGGCGUAAAGGGUCCGCAGGUGGCGAAUAAAGUCUGCUGUUAAAGACCGGGGCUAAACUCCGGAAAGGCAGUGGAAACUGGUUAGCUAGAGUACGGUAGGGGUAGAGGGGAUUCCCAGUGUAGCGGUGAAAUGCGUAGAUAUUGGGAAGAACACCGGUGGCGAAAGCGCUCUACUAGGCCGAAACUGACACUGAGGGACGAAAGCUAGGGUAGCGAAAGGGAUUAGAUACCCCUGUAGUCUUAGCGGUAAACGAUGGAUACUAGGUGUAGCUUGUAUCGACCCGAGCUGUGCCGAAGCUAACGCGAUAAGUAUCCCGCCUGGGGAGUACGCACGCAAGUGUGAAACUCAAAGGAAUUGACGGGGGCCCGCACAAGCGGUGGAGUAUGUGGUUUAAUUCGAUGCAACGCGAAGAACCUUACCAGGGCUUGACAUGUCGCGAAUCUAGCGGAAACGUUAGAGUGCCUUAGGGAAUGCGAACACAGGUGGUGCAUGGCUGUCGUCAGCUCGUGUCGUGAGAUGUUGGGUUAAGUCCCGCAACGAGCGUAACCCUCGUCCUUAGUUGCCAAUAUUAAGUUAGGCACUCUAGGGAGACUGCCGGGGACAACUCGGAGGAAGGUGGGGAUGACGUCAAGUCAGCAUGCCCCUUACGUCCUGGGCGACACACGUACUACAAUGGUUGGGACGAAGGGCAGCAAACUCGCGAGAGUAAGCGAAUCUCAUCAAACCCAGCCACAGUUCAGAUUGCAGGCUGCAACUCGCCUGCACGAAGUAGGAACCGCUAGUAAUCGCAGGUCGGCAUACUGCGGUGAAUUCGUUCCCGGGCCUUGUACACACCGCCCGUCACACCAUGGAAGCUGGCUACGCCCGAAGUCGUUACCCUAACCCGGUUUUGGGAGGGGGAUGCCGAAGGUAGAGCUAGUGACUGGGGUGAAGUCGUAACAAGGUAGCCGUACCGGAAGGUGUGGCUGGAUCACCUCCUUUACAGGGAGACCUAGUCUAAUUACCAAUAGAUAAAAAAGUUGGUAAUUCGCAAGAAUCCUUAGGUCGUGAGGGGAGCAAGAAAAAACUUUCAAACUGUAAUGGGUGAGGGUCAAUGGGCUAUUAGCUCAGGUAGUUAGAGCGCACCCCUGAUAAGGGUGAGGUCCCUGGUUCAAGUCCAGGAUGGCCCACCUAAAGUACAUAGGCAUCCUGCCUGUGCCACAAAAAAAGGAAAAAGUUUUGGCAUUGUCUCUUGUAAUCAAGAGCAAGAGAUAAUGCUGGAAUAGAUUCCAGCAAG
This 1360-nucleotide unclassified non-coding RNA is filed under the name uncultured cyanobacterium. RNAcentral's name for it is "bacterial SSU rRNA". The stretch from base 1 to 1065 matches the Rfam family "Bacterial small subunit ribosomal RNA", at positions 473 to 1533 of the family's 1533-position model. The record is from RNAcentral. Lineage: Bacteria; Bacillati; Cyanobacteriota.